RNAcentral lists this ribosomal RNA (253 nucleotides) under uncultured bacterium. RNAcentral describes it as "partial 16S ribosomal RNA". It matches the Rfam family "Bacterial small subunit ribosomal RNA", at positions 524 to 776 of the family's 1533-position model. The record is from RNAcentral.
UACAGAGGUCCCAAGCGUUGUUCGGAUUCACUGGGCGUAAAGGGUGCGUAGGUGGUGAGGUAAGUCGGAUGUGAAAUCUCCGGGCUCAACCCGGAAAUGGCAUUGGAAACUACCUUGCUUGAGGAUUUGAGGGGGGAUUGGAAUACUUGGUGUAGCAGUGAAAUGCGUAGAUAUCAAGUAGAACACCAGUGGCGAAGGCGAGUCCCUGGAAAACUCCUGACACUGAGGCACGAAAGCUAGGGGAGCAAACAGG